RNAcentral lists this ribosomal RNA (439 nucleotides) under uncultured bacterium. RNAcentral's name for it is "partial 16S ribosomal RNA". It matches the Rfam family "Bacterial small subunit ribosomal RNA", at positions 339 to 795 of the family's 1533-position model. The record is from RNAcentral.
CUACGGGUCGCAGCAGUGGGGAAUAUUGCACAAUGGAGGAAACUCUGAUGCAGCAACGCCGCGUGGAGGAUGACACUUUUCGGAGCGUAAACUCCUUUUAUAUAGGAAGAAGAUGACGGUACUAUAUGAAUAAGCGCCGGCUAACUCCGUGCCAGCAGCCGCGGUAAUACGGAGGGCGCAAGCGUUACUCGGAAUCACUGGGCGUAAAGGGCGUGUAGGCGGAUUAAAAAGUCAGAAGUGAAAUCCUAUAGCUUAACUAUAGAACUGCUUCUGAAACUCUUAAUCUAGAAUAUGGGAGAGGUAGAUGGAAUUUCUGGUGUAGGGGUAACAUCCGUAGAGAUCAGAAGGAAUACCGAUUGCGAAGGCGAUCUACUAGAACAUUAUUGACGCUGAGACGCGAAAGCGUGGGGAGCAAACAGGAUUAGAUACCCGAGUAGUC